Morone saxatilis (striped sea-bass) is the source of this 156-nucleotide long non-coding RNA. RefSeq lists it as uncharacterized. The record is from RefSeq and is a predicted model, not a curated record. Lineage: Eukaryota; Metazoa; Chordata; Actinopteri; Moronidae. The transcript is spliced from 2 exons.
AAAAAACGCACAGAAGAAGGAGAACGCGGAGGACGCGGAAGCAAAAGCAGGAUAACAAGGAGACGACGAAGCUGAUUUAAAUUGGAAGAAAAAUACAAUGACUCGCCAUGGGAAGAACUGUACGGCCGGAGCUGUCUACACAUACCACGAGAAAAA